This 515-nucleotide ribosomal RNA is filed under the name uncultured bacterium. Its description in RNAcentral is "partial 16S ribosomal RNA". It matches the Rfam family "Bacterial small subunit ribosomal RNA", at positions 28 to 523 of the family's 1533-position model. The record is from RNAcentral.
GAUGAACGCUGGCGGCGUGCCUAAUACAUGCAAGUCGAGCGAAUGGAUUGAGAGCUUGCUCUUAUGAAGUUAGCGGCGGACAGGUGAGUAACACGUGGGUAACCUGCCCAUAAGACUGGGAUAACUCCGGGAAACCGGGGCUAAUACCGGAUAACAUUUUGAACCGCAUGGUUCGAAAUUGAAAGGCGGCUUCGGCUGUCACUUAUGGAUGGACCCGCGUCGCAUUAGCUAGUUGGUGAGGUAACGGCUCACCAAGGCAACGAUGCGUAGCCGACCUGCGAGGGUGAUCGGCCACACUGGGACUGAGACACGGCCCAGACUCCUACGGGAGGCAGCAGUAGGGAAUCUUCCGCAAUGGACGAAAGUCUGACGGAGCAACGCCGCGUGAGUGAUGAAGGCUUUCGGGUCGUAAAACUCUGUUGUUAGGGAAGAACAAGUGCUAGUUGAAUAAGCUGGCACCUUGACGGUACCUAACCAGAAAGCCACGGCUAACUACGUGCCAGCCGCCGCCGUAA